GGAAAGGACAGUGCCCAAAAUAAUUGUUCCAAAGAAAACUGAAGCUCAUUUUCCUUAGUCACUGGUUGUGUAGAGAUGAGUCAGCCUGGCUUGGAAGCACACAGUUGGGCGGAUGCAUUAGUCAGAGUCCUCUAGAGGAAGAGAAACAAUAGGAUAGACAGAGAGAGAGUUAUUGUAAGGAAUUGGCUCAUGUGAUUAUGGAGGCUGGGAAGUCCAAUAUCUGGUUUGGGCGAGCAGGCUGGAGACCCAGGAGAGCCGAUGGGACAGUUCCAGUCUGACGAUGAUCUCCUGGAGAAUUCCCUCUCGCUCAGUUUGCAGAUAGGGAAGCUGGAGACAACUCUUGUUCAGAAUCCCGUUGCGUUAUUAUUGGUACCAGGAUGUGAACUCAGUCUUUCUCACUCCUAGUCAAGUGUUCAUUGCGCUGCCCCAGAGUGGAAGCUGUUAAAUCGUCUUCAUCAUGCUUAACAUUUCCUAUUUAUUAACAAAAUUGAAGAGUCCGUAAAAAAGCCAGAUGUGGCUUUGCUUCCCCACUGGUGUUUGUCGAGGAAACAUAUCAAAGCCAUUGUCAGGAUGUAACGGCAGUUCUGAGACAUCGGAGCUCUGAACCAAGCCUGACCUUCAUUGUCUUGGCCUCUAGUGACUUUCGUGACCUUGAAGAAAGAGAGGUAAGACACAGCUCUUCUUCAUGUUUAAGAAUUUGUGCUUCCUGAGCUGACGCUGGGAACUGGUAAUCAAGUUGCACGUGGGAAUAGAAAACGGAAAUCAGGAGGACCUGGAUUGCAAAUGGGCAGCCGGCAGUGUGACACCACCACUCCUGUCUCCUUCCACGAUCUGCAUCUGCUAAAGGACGUGCCCCAGGAGCCUGGAGCCUACUUGUUCUCUUUGAUUGUGACUCAGUGUGUCACUCAGAUUGCGGGUGUGAGAGGAGAGUAAGCGUCCACAUUAUUGUUGCAAAGACGACUAGAACUCCUUGGGCAGCCUACGGACCGCGUGCUACCUAAGGGAACGUGUGUGGUGUCCCACUGGAAACCGGUAUCAUGGCACCAUCCCAUGGGGUAUGCAAGAGUCUCUGAGGAAAUCAAGACCCGGAGAGUUUAGGAUUGUCCAACAUGUCCCCACGAGCAUUCAAAUCCAGUUCUUUCAAACCUCAAAACCCAAGGUUUUCAUAAUCACUACCUCAUACAGCAUCGCUCCUGGUACAAGCCUCCAAGGUCUGAGCCAGGGAUGAUAGCAGAGAUGUAUUCUGUGGUUCCCUUGUACAAUUUCAGGCUUUCCAUGGAAAAAAAAAAAAGUUCUAGGUCCUACGGGAAACAAUUUUCACUUUCAGAUGCCAACUCUCCACCUUUAGGGUCCUGUAAGAGCACAGAGGUUCCACUAGGACCUGAGAGCUGGAUCUCAGGCCCACCCCAGACCUGCAGAAUCUGAAUCUGCCUUUGGACCAGAGGCCACAAGAUUCUCAUGAAUCUUAAAGUUUGGGAAGUGUCCCCUUCGGUCAUGAAGAGUGAAACCUUGGCGGCAUUCCCACUCUUUUCAAGGAUUGCCCUGAAGUGGUUGACCCAAAGGCAACGGAACUGAGCACUCGCUGUCUACUUUAACUCACUCUCUCAAUUCUGUCAACCAAAAACAAAGAGGCAGGUCAGAGAACUCAGGUCACGCUUUG
Equus caballus (horse) is the source of this 1660-nucleotide long non-coding RNA. NCBI's taxonomy places the organism in Eukaryota, Metazoa, Chordata, Mammalia, Perissodactyla, Equidae. The record is from Ensembl.